Molecule: ribosomal RNA, 253 nt
Filed under: uncultured bacterium
Lineage: Bacteria
Description: partial 16S ribosomal RNA
Rfam family: Bacterial small subunit ribosomal RNA
Source: RNAcentral
UACGGAGGGGGCUAGCGUUGUUCGGAAUUACUGGGCGUAAAGCGCACGUAGGCGGCUUUGUAAGUUAGAGGUGAAAGCCCGGGGCUCAACCCCGGAACUGCCUUUAAGACUGCAUCGCUUGAAUCCGGGAGAGGUGAGUGGAAUUCCGAGUGUAGAGGUGAAAUUCGUAGAUAUUCGGAAGAACACCAGUGGCGAAGGCGGCUCACUGGACCGGUAUUGACGCUGAGGUGCGAAAGCGUGGGGAGCAAACGGG